Molecule: long non-coding RNA, 1523 nt
Organism: Canis lupus familiaris (dog)
Lineage: Eukaryota; Metazoa; Chordata; Mammalia; Carnivora; Canidae
Exons: 8
Source: RefSeq, a predicted model, not a curated record
GCCCGACGUGGGAUUCGAUCCCGGGUCUCCAGGAUCGUGCCCUGGGCCAAAGGCAGGCGCUAAACCGCUGCGCCACCCAGGGAUCCCUGCUAAUUUGACUUUAAUUUGUUCUUCUAUAUUCUACUCAGUAAGGUCCUGAGUCAGACAGAGCUGUCUCUGGCAACAGAAAGGAUGGAAAAGGAGAUAUCUAAAAUAAGACAACUGUGUGAUGCCGGUACUCAUAAUUCAGUUAUGAGCUUCUGUUGUAGUAAGUGUCUAUAUUGCUAUGAACAACCAGGACUAUGCCAGAAUGUUGGAGCAGUAAGGACCAAAGACCCACGUUUCAGAUUAAGACUGUCAUUGACUGAAAUCUGCUUAUAGGAAAACACCGUUAGCUGAAAGAUUCUACAUCCAAUUCAACAGAAUGUCCUGCCAACUCUACCUCCAAAGUCAAUCCAAAGUGGACAACCUCUCACCCUUUCUAUUAUCUGGCAUCAACCACUACCAGUAAUCAAGCCACAUACGAUGCAUCCAUCUAAUCUCCACCUCCAUGUUUUCAUGUUCAAAUUUCCCAUUUCUUAAAGGAGCAUCUUUCAUACUGGUGUAGAGCCUGAGCUAAUCCAUUUUGAAUUGAUCACAUCUGCAAAAAUCCUAACUCCAGAAAUCCAGAAAACAGAACUUCUGAUAAAUGGGAAUGUUAUCCUCCUGGAGCAUCCGCAUGGGUCCCAUAUGUACUCAUUACUGCAGAGUGUAAACCGAUGGAAUGUCUGUGCAAUCUACUUGCCAGAUGUGAAACCCGGGCUAUGAACCAGCAAUGUUCUGAUUCACAGUUACAGCAUUUAUGGCCUGAUACCACCAUCCACAUGAAGGAAGAGUGCAGGCCCGCUUCACUCAAUGUAUGGAGUAAGGGUGGCAUCCAUCUUCUCCUGCCCUCCAGCAUUAGAGUGUGUGGUUCUCAGGCUUCCUGACUCAGACCGAAUUAUACCACUGGUUUCCUGGUUGUUGUUCUUCACCUUGCUGACCACAGACUGUGGGACUUGUCUGCCUCCACAGCCAGACUGUGCCAUAUAUGAUGGAAAAUCAAAUUUUCACCUUCUCUCAUCUUAGAAAGACUACAGCAAACUCACUUUACUCCAGUCUUGGACGGAAUCAGUUCCCCAAUCUAAAUCUAGCAAUUGUCAAAGGUACACUAAACCAUCAGGUAGAUUUCAUAAGGAUUUUUUUUUAAGAUUUUAUUUAUUCAUGAUAGACAUAGAUAGAGCGAGAGAGAGUCAGAGACACAGGCAGAGGGAGAAGCAGGCUCCAUACUGGGAGCCCGACGUGGGACUUGAUUCCAGGACUCCAGGACCGUGCCCUGGGCCGAAGGCAGGAACUAAACCGCUGAGCCACCCAGGGAUCCCCUCAUAAGGAUUUUUAAGCAAAAGAAAUCUUGGAAUUUCAAAUAAAGAGAGCAUCCACCUGAAUAACCCAUAGAUGAUGGUGUCAAUGGCAGUUCUUGGUGGUUUGCUGGUGGUAGGAUUUAGAGUAAGUUGUGUUUUUACUAC